Molecule: transfer RNA, 79 nt
Filed under: Candidatus Nitrosarchaeum limnium BG20
Lineage: Archaea; Thermoproteati; Nitrososphaerota; Nitrososphaeria; Nitrosopumilales; Nitrosopumilaceae
Description: Candidatus Nitrosoarchaeum limnia BG20 tRNA-Asn
Rfam family: tRNA
About the family: Transfer RNA (tRNA) molecules are approximately 80 nucleotides in length. Their secondary structure includes four short double-helical elements and three loops (D, anti-codon, and T loops).
Source: RNAcentral
UGCCUCCCUAGCUCAGCGUGGUAGAGCAUCCGACUGUUAAUCGGAUGGUCAUCAGUUCAAGUCUGAUGGGAGGCGCUUC